CCUGGUGUCACAGAUGCUAUAAUCUCAUGAGGCAGAAUAACAUAUCUUAAAUACUGACACAAAAUAACUUAUUCUAGGAAAUACUACAAAGGAACAGUGCAGAUCAUAUUGAAAUGACAAGUAUCAAGGUAUCUAAAGAAGUCUUUGACUGGUAAUUUGCAGCUUGAGAAAAGUGAAACAAGAAUGGAGAAUCAUUGGCACUCAUUUGUUCUGCUUGUAUGGCCCUGAUGAAGUGUAUCCUGAACAAUCUCUUCUAGGUCACAAGUUCUCUCCUUGGCUGUGGCUAAUUCAAUAUUUAAUUCACACAGUGAGAAUUU
Molecule: long non-coding RNA, 317 nt
Filed under: Oryctolagus cuniculus (rabbit)
Lineage: Eukaryota; Metazoa; Chordata; Mammalia; Lagomorpha; Leporidae
Description: lncRNA (ENSOCUG00000029815.1)
Source: RNAcentral